This 1841-nucleotide ribosomal RNA is filed under the name Escherichia coli. Its description in RNAcentral is "partial 23S ribosomal RNA". It matches the Rfam family "Bacterial large subunit ribosomal RNA", at positions 1 to 1869 of the family's 2925-position model. Lineage: Bacteria; Pseudomonadati; Pseudomonadota; Gammaproteobacteria; Enterobacterales; Enterobacteriaceae. The record is from RNAcentral.
GUUAAGCGACUAAGCGUACACGGUGGAUGCCCUGGCAGUCAGAGGCGAUGAAGGACGUGCUAAUCUGCGAUAAGCGUCGGUAAGGUGAUAUGAACCGUUAUAACCGGCGAUUUCCGAAUGGGGAAACCCAGUGUGUUUCGACACACUAUCAUUAACUGAAUCCAUAGGUUAAUGAGGCGAACCGGGGGAACUGAAACAUCUAAGUACCCCGAGGAAAAGAAAUCAACCGAGAUUCCCCCAGUAGCGGCGAGCGAACGGGGAGGAGCCCAGAGCCUGAAUCAGUGUGUGUGUUAGUGGAAGCGUCUGGAAAGGCGCGCGAUACAGGGUGACAGCCCCGUACACAAAAAUGCACAUACUGUGAGCUCGAUGAGUAGGGCGGGACACGUGGUAUCCUGUCUGAAUAUGGGGGGACCAUCCUCCAAGGCUAAAUACUCCUGACUGACCGAUAGUGAACCAGUACCGUGAGGGAAAGGCGAAAAGAACCCCGGCGAGGGGAGUGAAAAAGAACCUGAAACCGUGUACGUACAAGCAGUGGGAGCCUCUUUUAUGGGGUGACUGCGUACCUUUUGUAUAAUGGGUCAGCGACUUAUAUUCUGUAGCAAGGUUAACCGAAUAGGGGAGCCGAAGGGAAACCGAGUCUUAACUGGGCGUUAAGUUGCAGGGUAUAGACCCGAAACCCGGUGAUCUAGCCAUGGGCAGGUUGAAGGUUGGGUAACACUAACUGGAGGACCGAACCGACUAAUGUUGAAAAAUUAGCGGAUGACUUGUGGCUGGGGGUGAAAGGCCAAUCAAACCGGGAGAUAGCUGGUUCUCCCCGAAAGCUAUUUAGGUAGCGCCUCGUGAACUCAUCUCCGGGGGUAGAGCACUGUUUCGGCAAGGGGGUCAUCCCGACUUACCAACCCGAUGCAAACUGCGAAUACCGGAGAAUGUUAUCACGGGAGACACACGGCGGGUGCUAACGUCCGUCGUGAAGAGGGAAACAACCCAGACCGCCAGCUAAGGUCCCAAAGUCAUGGUUAAGUGGGAAACGAUGUGGGAAGGCCCAGACAGCCAGGAUGUUGGCUUAGAAGCAGCCAUCAUUUAAAGAAAGCGUAAUAGCUCACUGGUCGAGUCGGCCUGCGCGGAAGAUGUAACGGGGCUAAACCAUGCACCGAAGCUGCGGCAGCGACACUAUGUGUUGUUGGGUAGGGGAGCGUUCUGUAAGCCUGUGAAGGUGUGCUGUGAGGCAUGCUGGAGGUAUCAGAAGUGCGAAUGCUGACAUAAGUAACGAUAAAGCGGGUGAAAAGCCCGCUCGCCGGAAGACCAAGGGUUCCUGUCCAACGUUAAUCGGGGCAGGGUGAGUCGACCCCUAAGGCGAGGCCGAAAGGCGUAGUCGAUGGGAAACAGGUUAAUAUUCCUGUACUUGGUGUUACUGCGAAGGGGGGACGGAGAAGGCUAUGUUGGCCGGGCGACGGUUGUCCCGGUUUAAGCGUGUAGGCUGGUUUUCCAGGCAAAUCCGGAAAAUCAAGGCUGAGGCGUGAUGACGAGGCACUACGGUGCUGAAGCAACAAAUGCCCUGCUUCCAGGAAAAGCCUCUAAGCAUCAGGUAACAUCAAAUCGUACCCCAAACCGACACAGGUGGUCAGGUAGAGAAUACCAAGGCGCUUGAGAGAACUCGGGUGAAGGAACUAGGCAAAAUGGUGCCGUAACUUCGGGAGAAGGCACGCUGAUAUGUAGGUGAAGUCCCUCGCGGAUGGAGCUGAAAUCAGUCGAAGAUACCAGCUGGCUGCAACUGUUUAUUAAAAACACAGCACUGUGCAAACACGAAAGUGGACGUAUACGGUGUGACGCCUGCCCGGUGC